AAUAAAGUGCCUGAUUAAAGGAUUAUUCUGAUAGGAUAAAUUAAGUAGAAUUCCUACCUUUAUUA
This 65-nucleotide transfer RNA is filed under the name Nagiella inferior. RNAcentral describes it as "tRNA-Ile". The record is from RNAcentral. Lineage: Eukaryota; Metazoa; Arthropoda; Insecta; Lepidoptera; Crambidae.